GUUUAAAGGGAGCGUAGGCCGGAGAUUAAGCGUGUUGUGAAAUGUAGUGGCUCAACCUCUGCACUGCAGCGCGAACUGGUCUUCUUGAGUACGCACAACGUGGGCGGAAUUCGUGGUGUAGCGGUGAAAUGCUUAGAUAUCACGAAGAACUCCGAUUGCGAAGGCAGCUCACGGGAGCGCAACUGACGCUGAAGCUCGAAAGUGCGGGUAUCGAACAGGAUUAGAUACCCUGGUAGUCCGCACGGUAAACGAUGGAUGCCCGCUGUUGGCCUGAAUAGGUCAGCGGCCAAGCGAAAGCAUUAAGCAUCCCACCUGGGGAGUACGCCGGCAACGGUGAAACUCAAAGGAAUUGACGGGGGCCCGCACAAGCGGAGGAACAUGUGGUUUAAUUCGAUGAUACGCGAGGAACCUUACCCGGGCUUGAAUUGCAGAGGAAGGAUUUGGAGACAAUGACGCCCUUCGGGGUCUCUGUGAAGGUGCUGCAUGGUUGUCGUCAGCUCGUGCCGUGAGGUGUCGGCUUAAGUGCCAUAACGAGCGCAACCCCUCUCCUCAGUUGCCAUCAGGUUAAGCUGGGCACUCUGGGGACACUGCCACCGUAAGGUGUGAGGAAGGUGGGGAUGACGUCAAAUCAUCAUGCCCCUUAUGUCUAGGGCUACACACGUGCUACAAUGGUCGGUACAAUAAGACGCAAGCCCGCGAGGGGGAGCAAAACUGGAAAACCGAUCUCAGUUCGGAUUGUAGGCUGAAACUCGCCUACAUGAAGCUGGAGUUGCUAGUAAUCGC
RNAcentral lists this ribosomal RNA (783 nucleotides) under uncultured Bacteroidota bacterium. Its description in RNAcentral is "bacterial SSU rRNA". It matches the Rfam family "Bacterial small subunit ribosomal RNA", at positions 558 to 1345 of the family's 1533-position model. The record is from RNAcentral. Lineage: Bacteria; Pseudomonadati; Bacteroidota.